AAUUUGCCCAUAACUGGGGGAUAGCCCGGAGAAAUCCGGAUUAAUACCCUAUAGUAUGUUGAAGAGGCAUCUCUUUAAUAUUAAAGAUUUAUCGGUUAUGGAUGAGCAUGCGUCUGAUUAGCUAGUUGGUAAGGUAACGGCUUACCAAGGCUACGAUCAGUAGGGGGUCUGAGAGGAUGAUCCCCCACACUGGUACUGAGAUACGGACCAGACUCCUACGGGAGGCAGCAGUAGGGAAUAUUGGGCAAUGGGCGAGAGCCUGACCCAGCCAUGCCGCGUGUAG
This 283-nucleotide ribosomal RNA is filed under the name uncultured bacterium. RNAcentral describes it as "partial 16S ribosomal RNA". It matches the Rfam family "Bacterial small subunit ribosomal RNA", at positions 123 to 406 of the family's 1533-position model. The record is from RNAcentral.